GUGGCGGGGGAGGGGUGAAUAAUGCCUAAAAAUCUGCCAGGCUAUGUUUUCUAGCGUUAGGAAACGGACACUAUUACCCUAUACGUCCUACCGGAGAAAGCAGGGGACCUUGGGACCUUGCGCUAUCGCAUGAGCCUAUGACGCAAUAUCUAAUUGGUGAGGUAAUGGCUCAAAGGCCCAACAAUCCGAAAAUGCUCUGAUGGGAUGAUCGGUCGAUCUGCAACUGAGACACUGACCAAACUCCUACAGUCCGCCGCAAGGGGGAAUAGUGGAAAAUGGGCCAAAGCCUGAUCCCCCCAUGCCGCCUGUGUGAAGAAGGGCUUCAGAUUGUCAAGCACUUUAGCCUGUUAGGAGGGAUUGAAAAUUAAUCCUCUGCAAUUUUGACGUUCCCAACGGACCAAACACCGGCUAACUCUGUGCCUUCAGCCCCGGUAAUACGGAAGGUGCAAGGGUUAAUCGGAAUUACUGAAUUACUGGCGCGCGUAGGUGGUUUGUUAGUUUGGAUGUGAAAUCCCCGGGCUCAACCUGGGAACUGCAUAAUUGACUGACUGACUAGAGUA
This 560-nucleotide ribosomal RNA is filed under the name gamma proteobacterium Y2-1-4. Its description in RNAcentral is "bacterial SSU rRNA". It matches the Rfam family "Bacterial small subunit ribosomal RNA", at positions 92 to 648 of the family's 1533-position model. The record is from RNAcentral. Lineage: Bacteria; Pseudomonadati; Pseudomonadota; Gammaproteobacteria.